AGACCCGAAACCCGGUGAUCUAGCCAUGGGCAGGUUGAAGGUUGGGUAACACUAACUGGAGGACCGAACCGACUAAUGUUGAAAAAUUAGCGGAUGACCUGUGGCUGGGGGUGAAAGGCCAAUCAAACCGGGAGAUAGCUGGUUCUCCCCGAAAGCUAUUUAGGUAGCGCCUCGUGAAUUCAUCUCCGGGGGUAGAGCACUGUUUCGGCUAGGGGGCCAUCCCGGCUUACCAACCCGAUGCAAACUGCGAAUACCGGAGAAUGUUAUCACGGGAGACACACGGCGGGUGCUAACGUCCGUCGUGAAGAGGGAAACAACCCAGACCGCCAGCUAAGGUCCCAAAGUCAUGGUUAAGUGGGAAACGAUGUGGGAAGGCCCAGACAGCCAGGAUGUUGGCUUAGAAGCAGCCAUCAUUUAAAGAAAGCGUAAUAGCUCACUGGUCGAGUCGGCCUGCGCGGAAGAUGUAACGGGGCUAAACCAUGCACCGAAGCUGCGGCAGCGAACGUAUCACCCAAGACAACUUUACGGAGUUGACGAUUGACGGAGCGAAGCGACGUCAAAGCGUUCAUUAAAGUCGAGUUGGCUUAGGGAUACGUUCGUUGGGUAGGGGAGCGUUCUGUAAGCCUGUGAAGGUGUGUCGUGAGGCAUGCUGGAGGUAUCAGAAGUGCGAAUGCUGACAUAAGUAACGAUAAAGCGGGUGAAAAGCCCGCUCGCCGGAAGACCAAGGGUUCCUGUCCAACGUUAAUCGGGGCAGGGUGAGUCGACCCCUAAGGCGAGGCCGAAAGGCGUAGUCGAUGGGAAACGGGUUAAUAUUCCCGUACUUGGUGUUACUGCGAAGGGGGGACGGAGAAGGCUAUGUUGGCCGGGCGACGGUUGUCCCGGUUUAAGGGUGUAGGUGUGUGUUCCAGGUAAAUCCGGUU
RNAcentral lists this ribosomal RNA (920 nucleotides) under Salmonella enterica subsp. enterica serovar Enteritidis str. P125109. Its description in RNAcentral is "partial 23S ribosomal RNA". It matches the Rfam family "Bacterial large subunit ribosomal RNA", at positions 711 to 1547 of the family's 2925-position model. Lineage: Bacteria; Pseudomonadati; Pseudomonadota; Gammaproteobacteria; Enterobacterales; Enterobacteriaceae. The record is from RNAcentral.